RNAcentral lists this ribosomal RNA (429 nucleotides) under bacterium. RNAcentral's name for it is "partial 16S ribosomal RNA". It matches the Rfam family "Bacterial small subunit ribosomal RNA", at positions 355 to 776 of the family's 1533-position model. The record is from RNAcentral.
UGGGGAAUUUUGGACAAUGGGCGAAAGCCUGAUCCAGCAAUGCCGCGUGUGUGAAGAAGGCCUUCGGGUUGUAAAGCACUUUUGUCCGGAAAGAAAUGGCUCUGGUUAAUACCUGGGGUCGAUGACGGUACCGGAAGAAUAAGGACCGGCUAACUACGUGCCAGCAGCCGCGGUAAUACGUAGGGUCCAAGCGUUAAUCGGAAUUACUGGGCGUAAAGCGUGCGCAGGCGGUUGUGCAAGACCGAUGUGAAAUCCCCGAGCUUAACUUGGGAAUUGCAUUGGUGACUGCACGGCUCGAGUGUGUCAGAGGUGGGUAGAAUUCCCCGUGUAGCAGUGAAAUGCGUAGAGAUGUGGAGGGAUACCGCUGGCGAAUGCGACCCCCUGGGAUAACACUGACGCUCAUGCACGAAAGCGUGUGGAGCAAACAGG